CUCCCUCCUCCGGCUGCUCUCCCGGGAGUGCCAAUAUAGGUCGCGUGAGGCGCAAUUCAGAUCUGACGAGUUCAGAUAAAACAGGGUCAUCCAACAUGAGAGCAGGUUGUCCAGAGAGGUUGUGGUCUCCAUCCUCCUCAGAGAUAAUCAAAACAUGACUGGACACAGUGUUCCAGAUGGUCUCCAGAGAAAAGAUCCUGAAAGUGUCGGUAAGGAAUUACAAGAUCCAAGCUAUGUCAGGAAAUACCUCAUCUCCA
This is a long non-coding RNA of Rhea pennata, 257 nucleotides long. RefSeq lists it as uncharacterized. The transcript is spliced from 3 exons. The record is from RefSeq and is a predicted model, not a curated record. NCBI's taxonomy places the organism in Eukaryota, Metazoa, Chordata, Aves, Rheiformes, Rheidae.